CUGCUUCUGGGUUUCAUCCCCGUUUGGCUGUUGCUGCUCGCGUGCUGCGGCAGCUCUUGCAUGUUUUAGACGAGCAACCUUUGGCACGAAAUCCUGGAGCCAUUGACAUAUCGAUCAGACCAUAAGCUAGAGAAACAUAGCUGCCAGCAAGUAAACUGAAGCUGAUACGAUACCUGCAGCUCCUUGUGUUCUGAACAGUCUCUGGGGUAGGCAUCUUCUUCAUUAUGGAAGGCUUCAUCUAGCACCUCCUGCGCGAUUGGCAAGCACGCGUGUGAUCAUAUAGCACAGUUCACAAUACAAGGCCUCGGAAUGGUGUCAAAUAUUGAACAAAACAACGCACCCCAUACGCAUCCCAGUCGAUGGCUUUGCUCAUGGUGCCUCAUGAUGGCCUCAUAAUGGGGUAGGACCGGUGAUUGCAGGAUAAUAGUUCAUGCCAUUUUCUAUGGUUUGACGGGGUGACAACGACGGAGUAUACACCGAUACAUAUUAAUCUGCCUGCAUGGGAGAACGUUCCCUUGGAUAUGGAUCACAGUUGAGAUAUUCUCCUCAAACUGACUAGACAGUUCAGACAUUGGCUUCACAACAUUCUCAGAUCACAACAGAAAUUAUCCUUCAAAU
This 618-nucleotide long non-coding RNA is filed under the name Coccomyxa subellipsoidea. RNAcentral's name for it is "long non-coding RNA (CSUB_LNC000247)". The record is from RNAcentral. Lineage: Eukaryota; Viridiplantae; Chlorophyta; Trebouxiophyceae; Coccomyxaceae.